Molecule: ribosomal RNA, 466 nt
Filed under: uncultured bacterium
Lineage: Bacteria
Description: partial 16S ribosomal RNA
Rfam family: Bacterial small subunit ribosomal RNA
Source: RNAcentral
GACGAACGCUGGCGGCGUGCUUAACACAUGCAAGUCGAACGGAAAGGCCCUGCUUGCCGGGUACUCGAGUGGCGAACGGGUGAGUAACACGUGGGUGAUCUGCCCUGCACUUCGGGAUAAGCUUGGGAAAAUGGGUCUAAUACCGGAUAGGAGCCAUCUUUAGUGUGGUGGUUGGAAAGUUUUUUCGGGGUAGGAGGUGCUCGCGGCCUAUCAGCUUGUUGGUGGGGUAAUGGCCUACCAAGGCGGCGACGGGGAGCCGGCCUGAGAGGGUGUACGGCCACAUUGGGACUGUGAGACAGGCCAGAGUCCGACGGGGGGCAGAAGGGGGGAAUAUUGCACAAUGGGCGCAAGCCUGAGGCAGCGACGCCGCGUGGGGGGUGAAGGCCUUCGGGUUGUAAACUCCUUUCGCUAGGGACGAAGCUUUUUUGUGACGGUACCUAGAUAAGAAGCACCGGCUAACUACGUG